RNAcentral lists this ribosomal RNA (253 nucleotides) under uncultured bacterium. Its description in RNAcentral is "partial 16S ribosomal RNA". It matches the Rfam family "Bacterial small subunit ribosomal RNA", at positions 524 to 776 of the family's 1533-position model. The record is from RNAcentral.
UACGUAGAGGGCCAGCGUUGCUCGGAAUUACUGGGCGUAAAGGGUUCGUAGGCGGUGCGGCAAGUUGGGAGUGAAAUCUCUGGGCUUAACUCAGGGGCUGCUUUCAAAACUGCCGCGCUCGAGUGCGAGAGAGGUCAGUGGAAUUGCAGGUGUAGCGGUGAAAUGCGUAGAUAUCUGGAGGAACACCGGUGGCGAAGGCGGCAUCCUGGACCGGCAUUGACGCUGAGGCGCGAAAGCCAGGGGAGCAAACGGG